AAUGAACGCUGGCGGCAGGCCUAACACAUGCAAGUCGAGCGCCCCGACAGGGGAGCGGCAGACGGGUGAGUAACGCGUGGGAACGUACUUAUUGGUUCGGAACAACUCCGGGAAACUGGGGCUAAUACCGGAUAAGCCCUAACGGGGAAAGAUUUAUCGCCGAAAGAUCGGCCCGAGGCUGAUUAGCUAGUUGGUGUGGUAACGGCUCACCAAGGCGACGAGCAGUAGAUGGUCAGAGAGGAAGAGCAGCCACACGUGGGCUGAGACGCAGCCCGGACUCCUACGGGAGGCGGGAGAGGCUAAUAUAGCACAAUGGGCGCAAUCCUGAUCCAGCCAUGCCGGGUGAGUGAUGAAGGCCGUAGAGUUGUAAAGCUCUUUUGUCCGGGAAGAUAAUGACGGUACCGAAAGAAUAAGCCCCGGCUAACUUCGUG
Molecule: ribosomal RNA, 431 nt
Filed under: uncultured bacterium
Lineage: Bacteria
Description: partial 16S ribosomal RNA
Rfam family: Bacterial small subunit ribosomal RNA
Source: RNAcentral